AGUCUUAUUAUGCCGAAUUCCAUUUGGAAGCGGAGGACCCAUUUUUGGGGUGAAUCUGGACUUUAGGUUUAUUAUUUUGAUCUAAGGUCUGGUAGGGUUACUCUUUCAACCCGAAUCCGACAGCUAACUUCGUAGGCAUUGAAAGAGGAAGA
RNAcentral lists this small RNA (152 nucleotides) under Acetohalobium arabaticum. RNAcentral describes it as "c-di-AMP sequence". It matches the Rfam family "c-di-AMP riboswitch aptamer (ydaO/yuaA leader)". Rfam says of the family: This family represents a conserved RNA structure found upstream of the ydaO and yuaA genes in Bacillus subtilis and related genes in other bacteria. The ydaO/yuaA element is thought to act as a genetic "off" switch for the ydaO and yuaA genes in its native state. RNAcentral also lists the same sequence under 1 other name. The record is from RNAcentral. Lineage: Bacteria; Bacillati; Bacillota; Clostridia; Halanaerobiales; Halobacteroidaceae.